UAAGGGAAUCUUCCACAGUGGGCGAAAGCCUGAUGGAGCAACGCCGCGUGUGUGAUGAAGGGUUUCGGCUCGUAAAACACUGUUGUAAGAGAAGAAUUUGACAUUGAGAGUAACUGUUCAAUGUGUGACGGUAUCUUACCAGAAAGGAACGGCUAAAUACGUGCCAG
Molecule: ribosomal RNA, 167 nt
Filed under: uncultured bacterium
Lineage: Bacteria
Description: partial 16S rRNA
Rfam family: Bacterial small subunit ribosomal RNA
Source: RNAcentral